Phyllopteryx taeniolatus (common seadragon) is the source of this 563-nucleotide long non-coding RNA. RefSeq lists it as uncharacterized. The record is from RefSeq and is a predicted model, not a curated record. NCBI's taxonomy places the organism in Eukaryota, Metazoa, Chordata, Actinopteri, Syngnathiformes, Syngnathidae. The transcript is spliced from 3 exons.
CGUUAUAAAGCAAUCUAUCACUAGACAGCUAUAUAAUCAUGCUUUGUAAAGUCAUGUUUUUAUUAGGAUGAUUAAAACAACUGGGGAAAGCUGGGAAGGAGAAAACGACCAAUGCUGCUUCUUUCCGGGUUGGGAAGCGACAAGGACAAACUGCAGCUGCCCUUUCGAACCCCCGCAUGUUCGCGAUGUCGUCUUCUGUUGGCAGUCCUUGAAUGCACCUCUGGGAGGAAACAGUCAAGGUCUGCAUGUUUACAAUCUGCGGCGCACAUAGUGCACAAGUUAGCUCAAGCUGCACUCACUUGAGCAUGGCGAGGAAGGACGGCGGCUCCACGUCGGGGAUGCGGAUCUCGUCCUGAUCCUCGGCCAGCUCGCCGUAGAACAUGGCGUGGAACACAGAGCUUCCCACGGCCAGGACGUACUGGACACACAAGAGGACCGGCUUGGUUUGGCGUCACGUACACUAAACCAGGCUUUGUCAACCUUUUUGGGGCCGGCAACUCCUUACAGCGGGGAGACAUUUUUCCAAGGCCCCCCUCAUAAUCCAAUUGCCAAUUAAUCAGAAA